GCCUCCGUAGCUCAAAUGGCUAGAGCAGCCGUCUCGUAAGCGGCAGGUUAUGAGUUCAAGUCUCAUCGGUGGCU
This 74-nucleotide transfer RNA is filed under the name Acidobacteriota bacterium. Its description in RNAcentral is "Acidobacteria bacterium (wastewater metagenome) tRNA-Thr". It matches the Rfam family "tRNA". From Rfam's summary of the family: Transfer RNA (tRNA) molecules are approximately 80 nucleotides in length. Their secondary structure includes four short double-helical elements and three loops (D, anti-codon, and T loops). Further hydrogen bonds mediate the characteristic L-shaped molecular structure. tRNAs have two regions of fundamental functional importance: the anti-codon, which is responsible for specific mRNA codon recognition, and the 3' end, to which the tRNAs corresponding amino acid is attached (by aminoacyl-tRNA synthetases). tRNAs cope with the degeneracy of the genetic code in two manners: having more than one tRNA (with a specific anti-codon) for a particular amino acid; and 'wobble' base-pairing, i.e. permitting non-standard base-pairing at the 3rd anti-codon position. Lineage: Bacteria; Pseudomonadati; Acidobacteriota. The record is from RNAcentral.